Molecule: long non-coding RNA, 1878 nt
Filed under: Homo sapiens (human)
Lineage: Eukaryota; Metazoa; Chordata; Mammalia; Primates; Hominidae
Description: non-protein coding lnc-PCDH20-20:1
Source: RNAcentral
UGUUGCCCUGUGUCUGAGCCACUCCAGCCAUGGCUGAAAGGGGCCAACUUACAGCUCGGGCUGUGGCUUCAGAGUGUGGAAGCCUGAAGCCUUGGCAGCUCCCAUGUGGUGUUGAGCCUGCAGGUGCACAAAAGUCAGUAAUUGAGGUUUGGGAACCUCCGCCUAGAUUUCAGAAGAUGUAUGGAAAUGCCUGAAUGCCCAGGCAAAAGUUUGCUGCAGGGCCAGGGCCCUCAUGGAAUACCUCCUCUAGGGCAGUUCAGAAAGGAGAUGUGGGAUUGGAGCCCCCACAUAGAGGACCCACUGGGCCAAUGCCUAGUGGAGCUGUAAGAAGAGGGCCACCAUUCUCUAGACCCCAGAAUGGUAGAUCCAUCAACAGCUUGCACCAUGCACCUGGAAAAGCUGCAGCCACUCAAUGCCAGCCUGUGAAAGUAGCUGGGGGUGUAGCUGUACCCUGCAAAGCCACAGGGAUAGUGCUGCCCAAGACCAUGGAUACCCACCUCUUGCAUGAGUGUGACCUGGAUGUGAGACCUGGAGUGAAAGGAGAUCAUUUUGGAGCUUUAAAAUUUGACUGCCCUGCUGGAUUUCAGACUUGCAUAGGCCCUUAACCCCUUUGUUUUGGCUAAUUUCUCCAAUUUGGAAAGGCUGUAUUUACCCAAUACCUGUACCCCUAUUGUAUCUAGGAAGUACCUAGCUUGCUUUUGAUUUUACAGGCUCAUAGGUGGAAGGGACUAGCCUUGUCUCAGAUGAGAUUUUGGGCUGUUGACUUUUGGUCAUGUAUAAUUUGUCUAUAUUAUAUACAUAUAUAUGGUCUACAAAAGUUCUGGUUUGGUUUGCAAUUUUAAGUUUCACUUUUGUUCUUAGAGUGUCACAACAAUAUCUUUCAGUCUUUCUACUAAAUUUCAUUUCUCUGCUCAUAUAUUUAAUUUAAAAAAUUCUUUUGUUCUCUAAGUAUUUAUGUAGUAUUGAAAUAAAAAAAUCACUUGAAUUUGCUUUUUGUCUAACAUUAUUUCCAUAGUCUAAAAUAAACAGCAAAUAAUACACCAUUAGCAAAAAACAUAAAGCAAGAAUUGCUCAUUAAAAUGAAAACCCCAAAAUCAUAAAUCUGAUGAUGGCCAACUAGAUGCAGCCAGGAGGAACAUCUGCCAUUCAGGGACUGGGACACUGGGAAGAGUGGUACACUCUGAGCCGAUCUCUGGAGGGAAGGCAUUGCAGUAAAGGAUUCCAGGGAGUAUGCUAAGCCAAUUAUAGGUUCAAUUCAUUUUAUCUGUCUUUCUCAUGGAUCACUCACCUGUGCUAUUUUAUACUUCAAUGUCUGAAAACCCUUGUUUUACAUGUUUUAUCUUUGGUGAUUUUUUGGUUUGUUCUGUUUUUUCUUUUGUUUGUUUGUUUUGGUAGUAGGGGAAAUAUACUCUCUUAAAUUCACCUAUUCUGGAAGCAGACAUUUCUCAGAUUAUAUUUAUAUCAUUUGUUUCUAUAACAUGUGACACAAAUUACAAAUGCCCAUGUCAUCUCCCAUCCCAGAACUAGCUACACAGCAUGUGAAACUGAGCAAGUUUCAUAGAAUUAAGGAGGUAAUACAGCCAAUUUUGAUUGUUUUAAAACAACAUGAGUACUAUGAAACAGAGGAAUAGCACUGGCUUAGGAGUCUUAAAAAAUGUGUUUAGGCAUUAUAUUUUCAACUUUUACCCAAGGUAAUCCUAGAUAUAAUUAUUAAUUUUUUAAUUUUUAUUUUCUCAUUUGCAAAAUGAUAAUGGUUAUAAUUCUUACAUAACACAUUAGUACAAAAUUCAACAAACAAUAUAAGUCUACCAUCUUCUUCUUACCAAAAAUAUUUUUCUUGGAUAUUUGUCUUGCUGAGAAUGCUGUGUUAUGCAAUUU